Molecule: ribosomal RNA, 614 nt
Filed under: uncultured Synechococcus sp.
Lineage: Bacteria; Bacillati; Cyanobacteriota; Cyanophyceae; Synechococcales; Synechococcaceae
Description: bacterial SSU rRNA
Rfam family: Bacterial small subunit ribosomal RNA
Source: RNAcentral
CGGAUAAACGCCUGGGCGGCCUCUUACACAUGCAAGUCGAACGAACUUCGGGUAGUGGCGGACGGGUGAGUACGGAGAAUCUGCCUCAGUGAGGGGGACAACAGUUGGAAACGACUGCUAAUACCCCAUAUGCCGCGAGGUGAAAUGAAUUUCGCCUGAGGAUGAGCUCGCGUCUGAUUAGCUAGUUGGUGUAGGUAAUGGCUCACCAAGGCAUCGAUCAGUAGCUGGUCUGAGAGGAUGAUCAGCACACUGGGACUGAGACACGGCCAGACUCCUACGGGAGGCAGCAGUGGGGAAUUUUCCGCAAUGGGCGAAAGCCUGACGGAGCAACGCCGCGUGAGGGAUGAAGGCCUCUGGGCUGUAAACCUCUUUUAUCAAGGAAGAAGAUCUGACGGUACUUGAUGAAUAAGCCACGGCUAAUUCCGUGCCAGCAGCCGCGGUAAUACGGGAGUGGCAAGCGUUAUCCGGAAUUAUUGGGCGUAAAGCGUCCGCAGGCGGCCUUCAAGUCUGCUGUUAAAAAGUGGAGCUUAACUCCAUCAUGGCAGUGGAAACUGUUGGGCUUGAGUGUGGUAGGGGCAGAGGGAAAUUCCCGGUGUAGCGGGUGGAAAUGCGUA